AUUGAACGCUGGCGGCAUGCCUUACACAUGCAAGUCGAACGGCAGCGGACCUUCGGGUGCCGGCGAGUGGCGAACGGGUGAGUAAUAUAUCGGAACGUACCUUUCAGCGGGGGAUAACGUAGCGAAAGUUACGCUAAUACCGCAUAUUCUGUGAGCAGGAAAGCAGGGGAUCGCAAGACCUUGCGCUGAUUGAGCGGCCGAUAUCAGAUUAGCUAGUUGGUGAGGUAAAGGCUCACCAAGGCGACGAUCUGUAGCGGGUCUGAGAGGAUGAUCCGCCACACUGGAACUGAGACACGGUCCAGACUCCUACGGGAGGCAGCAGUGGGGAAUUUUGGACAAUGGGCGCAAGCCUGAUCCAGCCAUGCCGCGUGAGUGAAGAAGGCCUCGGUUGUAAG
This 395-nucleotide ribosomal RNA is filed under the name uncultured bacterium. RNAcentral's name for it is "bacterial SSU rRNA". It matches the Rfam family "Bacterial small subunit ribosomal RNA", at positions 30 to 429 of the family's 1533-position model. The record is from RNAcentral.